AGAAUCAACGCUGGCGGCGUGCCUAACACAUGCAAGUCGAACGCGAAAGGGGAGCAAUCCCUGAGUAGAGUGGCAAACGGGUGAGUAACACGUGGGUGACCUGCCUUCGAGUGGGGGAUAACGUCCCGAAAGGGACGCUAAUACCGCAUGACAUCCUGUCCUUGGAAGGACGGAGAUCAAAGCUGGGGAUCGUAAGACCUGGCGCUUGAAGAGGGGCCCGCGCCUGAUUAGCUAGUUGGUGGGUAACGGCUCACCAAGGCGACGAUCAGUA
RNAcentral lists this ribosomal RNA (271 nucleotides) under uncultured bacterium. RNAcentral's name for it is "partial small subunit ribosomal RNA". It matches the Rfam family "Bacterial small subunit ribosomal RNA", at positions 26 to 285 of the family's 1533-position model. The record is from RNAcentral.